GACGAACGCUGGCGGCGUGCCUAAUACAUGCAAGUUGAGCGCUGAAGGUUGGUACUUGUACCAACUGGAUGAGCAGCGAACGGGUGAGUAACGCGUGGGGAAUCUGCCUUUGAGCGGGGGACAACAUUUGGAAACGAAUGCUAAUACCGCAUAAAAACUUUAAACACAAGUUUUAAGUUUGAAAGAUGCAAUUGCAUCACUCAAAGAUGAUCCCGCGUUGUAUUAGCUAGUUGGUGAGGUAAAGGCUCACCAAGGCGAUGAUACAUAGCCGACCUGAGAGGGUGGUCGGCCACAUUGGGACUGAGACACGGCCCAAACUCCUACGGGAGGCAGCAGUAGGGAAUCUUCGGCAAUGGACGGAAGUCUGACCGAGCAACGCCGCGUGAGUGAAGAAGGUUUUCGGAUCGUAAAACUCUGUUGGUAGAGAAGAACGUUGGUGAGAGUGGAAAGCUCAUCAAGUGACGGUAACUACCCAGAAAGGGACAGCUAACUACGUG
This 497-nucleotide ribosomal RNA is filed under the name uncultured bacterium. RNAcentral describes it as "partial 16S ribosomal RNA". It matches the Rfam family "Bacterial small subunit ribosomal RNA", at positions 28 to 507 of the family's 1533-position model. The record is from RNAcentral.